UCAUUUUGUUAUGUGAGGAAUGGCACUGGGGAGAUUAUAAAGUUAACGUUAAAAUACCUUGAUGUUUUUUUCUUUUUAAAAAUAGGUCAUUUUAUGCCACCUGAAAAAGUACAUAAAGAACUCUUUAAAGACUGGAAUAUUCCAUUUAAGCAGCCAUCAUAUCCAUCAGUGAAACGUUAUAAUCGGAAUCGGACACUAACACAAAAGCUACGGAUGGAGGAGCGAUUUAAAAAGAAAGAAAGAUUACUCAGGAAGAAAUUAGCUAAAAAAGGAAUUGAUUAUGAUUUUCCUUCUUUGAUUUUACAGAAAACGGAAAGUAUUUCAAAAACUAAUCGUCAGACAUCUACAAAAGGCCAGGUUUUACGUAAGAAGAAGAAAAAAGUUUCAGGUACUCUUGACACUCCUGAGAAGACUGUGGAUAGCCAGGGCCCCACACCAGUUUGUACACCAACAUUUUUGGAGAGGCGAAAAUCUGAAGUGGCUGAACUGAAUGAUGAUGAUAAAGAUGAUGAAAUAGUUUUCAAACAGCCCAUAUCCAGUGUAAAAGAAGAAAUACAAGAGACUCAAACACCUACACAUUCACGGAAAAAAAGACGAAGAAAAAGCAAUCAGUGAUUUUCAAUGUAUUAUAUUUCUUCUGAAAAAUAUAAUAUUUUUAUGAGA
This 663-nucleotide small RNA is filed under the name Pongo abelii (Sumatran orangutan). RNAcentral's name for it is "retained intron". The record is from RNAcentral. Lineage: Eukaryota; Metazoa; Chordata; Mammalia; Primates; Hominidae.